CCUACGGGAGGCAGCAGUGAGGAAUCUUCGGCAAUGGGCGGAAGCCUGACGGAGCAACGCCGCGUGAAUGAAGAAGGUCUUCGGAUCGGAAAGUUCUGUUCUUAAGGAAGAAGUCUUGGGGUGUGAAUAAUGACUUAAGGUGACGGUACCUAUGGAGAAAGCUCCGGCUAACUACGUACCAGCAGCAGCGGUAAUAAGUAGGGAGUGAGCGUUGUCCGGGAUUACUGGGCGUAAAGGGCGCGUAGGCGGGAACUUAAGGUAGAUGUGAAAACUCCGGGCUUAACCUGGGGACUGAAUGUAAAACUGGGUUUCUUGAGUGCAGGAGAGGAAAGUGGAAUUCCUAGUGUAGCGGUGAAAUGCGUAGAUAUUAGGAGGAACACCAGUGGCGAAGGCGACUUUCUGGACUGUACCUGACGCUGAGGCGCGAAAGCAUGGGGAGCGAACAGGAUUAGAUACCCGAGUAGUC
Molecule: ribosomal RNA, 466 nt
Filed under: uncultured bacterium
Lineage: Bacteria
Description: partial 16S ribosomal RNA
Rfam family: Bacterial small subunit ribosomal RNA
Source: RNAcentral